This 46-nucleotide non-coding RNA is filed under the name Trichobilharzia regenti. Lineage: Eukaryota; Metazoa; Platyhelminthes; Trematoda; Strigeidida; Schistosomatidae. The record is from RNAcentral.
AUACUGAUGAUGAGUCCCAAAUUAGGACGAAACAGCUGUCCAGUAC